UACGAAGGGGGCUAGCGUUGUUCGGAAUCACUGGGCGUAAAGCGUAUGUAGGCGGAUUGUUAAGUCAGGGGUGAAAUCCCGGAGCUCAACUUUGGAACUGCCUUUGAUACAGCACGUCUUGAGUCCGAUAGAGGUGGGUGGAAUUCCUAGUGUAGAGGUGAAAUUCGUAGAUAUUAGGAAGAACACCGGUGGCGAAGGCGGCGACCUGGUCCUUAUACUGACGCUGAGGCGCGAAAGCGUGGGGAGCAAACAGG
This 254-nucleotide ribosomal RNA is filed under the name uncultured bacterium. RNAcentral's name for it is "partial 16S ribosomal RNA". It matches the Rfam family "Bacterial small subunit ribosomal RNA", at positions 524 to 776 of the family's 1533-position model. The record is from RNAcentral.